This 1057-nucleotide ribosomal RNA is filed under the name uncultured bacterium. RNAcentral describes it as "bacterial SSU rRNA". It matches the Rfam family "Bacterial small subunit ribosomal RNA", at positions 366 to 1441 of the family's 1533-position model. The record is from RNAcentral.
GCGUCUGGGGGAAACCCUGAUGCAGCGACGCCGCGUGAGCGAUGAAGCCCUUCGGGGUGUAAAGCUCUUUCGGCAGGGAAGAUGAUGACGGUACCUGCAGAAGCAGCUGCGGCUAACUACGUGCCAGCAGCCGCGGUAAUACGUAGGCAGCAAGCGUUGUUCGGAGUUACUGGGCGUAAAGGGUGUGUAGGCGGUUGUUUAAGUUUGGUGUGAAAUCUCCCGGCUCAACUGGGAGGGUGCGCCGAAUACUGAAUGACUUGGAGUGCGGGAGAGGAGAGUGGAAUUCCUGGUGUAGCGGUGAAAUGCGUAGAUAUCAGGAGGAACACCGGUGGUGUAGACGGCUCUCUGGACCGUAACUGACGCUGAGACACGAAAGCGUGGGUAGCAAACAGGAUUAGAUACCCUGGUAGUCCACGCCCUAAACGAUGCAUAUUUGGUGUGGGCAGUUCAUUCUGUCCGUGCCGGAGCUAACGCGUUAAAUAUGCCGCCUGGGGAGUACAGUCGCAAGGCUGAAACUCAAAGGAAUUGACGGGGGCCCGCACAAGCGGUGGAGCAUGUGGUUCAAUUCGACGCAACGCGAAGAACCUUACCUGGGCUCGAACGGCUGGUCAACGGAGGUGGAAACAUCUUUACCCCGCAAGGGGGUCCAGUCGAGGUGCUGCAUGGCUGUCGUCAGCUCGUGUCGUGAGAUGUUGGGUUAAGUCCCGCAACGAGCGCAACCCUUGUCCUGUGUUGCUAUCAUUCAGUUGGGAACUCGCAGGAGACCGCCAGCGAUAAGUUGGAGGAAGGUGGGGAUGACGUCAAGUCCUCAUGGCCUUUAUGUCCAGGGCUACACACGUGCUACAAUGGCCGGUACAAAGCGUCCCUAACCCGCGAGGGGGCGGCAAUCGCAAAAAACCGGUCUCAGUUCGGAUUGCAGGCUGCAACUCGCCUGCAUGAAGCUGGAAUCGCUAGUAAUGGCAGAUCAGCACGCUGCCGUGAAUACGUUCCCGGGCCUUGUACACACCGCCCGUCACAUCACGAAAGUGGAUUGUACUAGAAGUCUGCAGGCUGACCC